This 251-nucleotide unclassified non-coding RNA is filed under the name plant metagenome. Its description in RNAcentral is "partial contains small subunit ribosomal RNA, internal transcribed spacer 1, and 5.8S ribosomal RNA". The stretch from base 1 to 54 matches the Rfam family "Eukaryotic small subunit ribosomal RNA", at positions 1778 to 1831 of the family's 1831-position model. The record is from RNAcentral.
GGAGGUAAAAGUCGUAACAAGGUUUCCGUAGGUGAACCUGCGGAGGGAUCAUUACAGAGUUCAUGCCCUACCGGGUAGAUCUCCCACCCUAUGUUAUUAUUACUUUGUUGCUUUGGCGGGCCGUUAGGCUCCGGCCCGACUACCGGCCCCGGCUGGUAAGCGCCCGCCAGAGGACCCAAAACCCUGAAUAUUAGUGUCGUCUGAGUACUAUAUAAUAGUUAAAACUUUCAACAACGGAUCUCUUGGUUCUG